GUUCCAUGUGAACGGCACUUGCACAUGGGUAAGCCGAUCCUAAGGGACGGGGUAACCCCGGCAGAUAGCGCGAUCACGCGCAUCCCCCGAAAGGGAAUCGGGUUAAGAUUUCCCGAGCCGGGAUGUGGCGGUUGAC
Molecule: non-coding RNA, 136 nt
Filed under: Triticum aestivum (bread wheat)
Lineage: Eukaryota; Viridiplantae; Streptophyta; Magnoliopsida; Poales; Poaceae
Description: rRNA LSU_rRNA_eukarya
Rfam family: Eukaryotic large subunit ribosomal RNA
Source: RNAcentral